GGUUGACCUCGGAUCAGGUAGGAAUACCCGCUGAACUUAAGCAUAUCAAUAAGCGGAGGAAAAGAAACCAACAGGGAUUGCCUCAGUAACGGCGAGUGAAGCGGCAACAGCUCAAAUUUGAAAUCUGGCCUCGUGCCCGAGUUGUAAUUUGUAGAGGAUGCUUUCGGCGCGGCGCCUUCCGAGUUCCCUGGAACGGGACGCCACAGAGGGUGAGAGCCCCGUAUGGUCGGAUGCCAAGCCAUUGUAAAGCUCCUUCGACGAGUCGAGUAGUUUGGGAAUGCUGCUCAAAAUGGGAGGUAAAUUUCUUCUAAAGCUAAAUACCGGCCAGAGACCGAUAGCGAAAAAGUAGAGUGAUCGAAAGAUGAAAAGCACUUUGAAAAGAGGGUUAAACAGCACGUGAAAUUGUUGAAAGGGAAGCGCUUGUGACCAGACCUGCGCCCUGGGGAUCAUCCGGCGUUCUCGCCGGUGCACUCCGCUGGGCUGCAGGCCAGCAUCGGUUCUCCCAGGGGGACAAAAGCUUCGGGAACGUAGCUCCUUAGGGAGUGUUAUAGCUCGUUGCACAAUACCCUUGGGGGGACCGAGGUACGCGCUCCGCAAGGAUGCUGGCGUAAUGGUCAUCAGCGACCCGUCUUGAAACACGGACCAAGGAGUCAAGCAUUAGGGCGAGUGUUUGGGUGCAAAACCCGCACGCGAAAUGAAAGUGAACGUAGGUGAGAGCUUCGGCGCAUCAUCGACCGAUCCUGAUGUUCUCGGAUGGAUUUGAGUAAGAGCCUUACCGCUUGGACCCGAAAGAUGGUGAACUAUGCCUGUAUAGGGUGAAGCCAGAGGAAACUCUGGUGGAGGCUCGCAGCGGUUCUGACGUGCAAAUCGAUCGUCAAAUAUGGGCAUGGGGGCGAAAGACUAAUCGAACUAUCUAGUAGCUGGUUACCGCCGAAGUUUCCCUCAGGAUAGCAGUGUUGUUUUCAGUUUUAUGAGGUAAAGCGAAUGAUUAGGGACUCGGGGGCGCUAUUUUGCCUUCAUCCAUUCUCAAACUUUAAAUAUGUAAGAAGCCCUUGUUACUUUGUUGAACGUGGGCCUUCGAAUGCAGCAACACUAGUGGGCCAUUUUUGGUAAGCAGAACUGGCGAUGCGGGAUGAACCGAACGCGGGGUUAAGGUGCCAGAGUGGACGCUCAUCAGACACCACAAAAGGCGUUAAUACAUCUUGACAGCAGGACGGUGGCCAUGGAAGUCGGAAUCCGCUAAGGACUGUGUAACAACUCACCUGCCGAAUGUAUUAGCCCUGAAAAUGGAUGGCGCUCAAGCGUCCCACCCAUACCCCGCCCUCAGGGUAGAAACGAUGCCCUGAGGAGUAGGCGGCCGCGGGGGCGGUGACGAAGCCCAGGGCGUGAGCCCGGGUCGAACCGCCCCUGGUGCAGAUCUUGGUGGUAGUAGCAAAUACUUCAAUGAGAACUUGAAGGACCGAAGUGGGGAAAGGUUCCAUGUGAACAGCGGUUGGACGUGGGUUAGCCGAUCCUAAGCCAUAGGGAAGUUCCGUUUCAAAGGGGCACUCGUGCCCCGCAUGGCGAAAGGGAAGCAGGUCAAUAUUCCUGCGCCUGGAUGCGGGUUUUUCGCGGCAACGCAACCGAACGCGGAGACGGCGGCGGGGGCCCCGGGCAGAGUUCUCUUUUCUUCUUAACGGUCUACCACCCUGAAAACAGUUUGUCUGGAGAUAGGGUCCCAUGGCCGGAAGAGCCCAGCACCUCUGCUGGGUCCGGUGCGCCCCCGACGUCCCUUGAAAAUCCGCGGGAGGGAAUAAUUCUCGCGCCAGGUCGUACUCAUAACCGCAGCAGGC
RNAcentral lists this ribosomal RNA (1832 nucleotides) under Lentomitella vestita. RNAcentral's name for it is "eukaryotic LSU rRNA". It matches the Rfam family "Eukaryotic large subunit ribosomal RNA", at positions 1 to 1864 of the family's 3401-position model. The record is from RNAcentral. Lineage: Eukaryota; Fungi; Ascomycota; Sordariomycetes; Xenospadicoidales; Xenospadicoidaceae.